This 3077-nucleotide long non-coding RNA is filed under the name Brassica napus (rape). RNAcentral describes it as "long non-coding RNA (BNAP_LNC025635)". The record is from RNAcentral. Lineage: Eukaryota; Viridiplantae; Streptophyta; Magnoliopsida; Brassicales; Brassicaceae.
CCCCGGCUGACACAUUUGAUGGAACAAACCAGUUUUCUUGAUCUGAAUAAUAAUACUUAAAACAGUUUGCUACACUCUCUCAACUUCUUGAAUUCCUUUUAAGGAAAUCCAAAGAGAGAGUUUUGUAUGCUUUAAAAUUAAAAGGUUAAAAAAAAACAGAUGAUAGAAGGAAGGUUGAUUAAGACAUGAGAACCAGAGUCUCAGGGAGAUGGUGAUGAUCACUGUCUUCCUCCUUUCUUUGCACAGCAAGGAGGGCAUUUAUACUGCUUGAUGCUGUCUGCUUUGGCGGGAGUGAUCUUCACGCAUUUUCCAUGGUACCAACGCUCACAAACAUCACAGCCAAUCCAGAACUCAUCUUGUGUGUAAUUGCCUCCACAGCUUCCACAGAGAGUGUCUCCAUGCUCGUCUUCUUCCUCUUCAUCCUCCUCCUCUUCGUACCUCUCUUCCAUCAGUUUGGGUGUUGUGCUCUUUGGCUGCCCUUCUAUUGAUCUCUGCAACAAACCCAUUUUUUUUUGUUUUUAAAGGAUAGAAACCAAAAAAUCUACAAAUCAGAAAAAGAAGAUCACUUAUUCAACGUACCUUAGUGCCACCGUUUCUGGAUUUGCUUCCGGAGUCUGAGCUUGGUUUAUUGUCUUUGAUUGGUUUCCUACCAGUCACUACAUCAAAGAGAGUUGGGAGAUCGUUGAUCAGACUGAAUAGCCGCUUCCUGCAAAUUCAAACUAUAAGUUUAUGGACAUGGACAUAGAGAUAAAGAGAUCUACAAUCUUCAUAAUCAGUACACCAAUGGUGAAUCUGUGUGAUGUUUAUCCAACAUUAUAAGUUUCUAACUAUCUAAGUUAACAUUCUUCAUCCAAUCCUCCUUUAUAUCCUCCCAUGUCCUUCGAUGAGUAUAGACUCUUCAUUCGAACUCAAGGUCCUCGUGGCAAAUCCUACGUGGAGUCUCAUAUAUCUCCUCUCGAUAAUUGAUAUCUACUUCAAAUAUGUCUGACAAAAGAGAACGAAACGUAAGUUUCCUUGCUUAUGCAACUCAACUACUAAUGCCUACAUAUUAGUCUCAUAUUAAUCUUUUUGAGCAAUGUGCAUAUUAUAUGAAUAGGCUAUUUGGUGAGGAAAUCGAAGUAAUGGGAUAUCAUAUAUAUCGAAAAGAUACCAGAAGAUUCUACUGAUCAACGAACACAUAUACUGGAUAUCAAGAAGAAUCAAUAUACCGAAAAUAAUCUAUCAUAGUUUAUUGUUCAUGCAAUUUAUAUAUUUUAUCGUCCUAUAUAUAUAUUUACGAUUUUAAAUUGUAUUAUAAUAUAAACUCAACAUAAUGGAGGUUUCUUUUUAUAUCGUUUAUCAUUGUCCUAAAGUUGAUAUCUUCUAUCUUUCCAACAACAAUUACCUAAUCCACAUGCAGUGCUGAGGGUUAUAUUUGAUAGGCCACAAAUUACUUAUCCAAAUUGACAAAUGUAUUGUUAAAUUCGAAAGACUUGACCGAGAGUAUAAAAUUAGAUAACUAAUAUAAUUGUUAAACCUCACUAUCACUGUAUCACAUGAUGUUAGGCUGAUUCCGUGAUUGUUGAAGCAUUCUAAUCGGUAAUCAUGUUUUCUCUACUAUUAGUAACACCAAUAAUGGAGCUAAUUGAAAAUAGUUUUUCAUGUAUUGAUUAAGCAACUAAUCUACCAGACAAUAUGUUUCAUUAAAAAUUAGCAUUACAUACCAAAUGAUGGACAUGUGAAACGCAAUAAAUAUCUAGUAUCUGGUACAUAGAUUAUUUUUUGUAUGUGUAUGUAACGGAUAAUUCGUGUUGACCAUUUUGUAAAAUCUUGUUAGAUCCGGUUUAAGUUCUUUAUAAUAUAACUAAAGGGUAUAAGAAGAAGACUGGACGACAAACUAAUAGCAGGGUUGAUCAGAUUGAUGAUUUUCACCGGAUUUAGAAUCCAAUCAUAGUUUUUACUAUUAAUCAAUGAUUUAAAAAUUUUGUUAACAUUUUGUACUCGAACUAAAUUUUUACUCAAACAAAAUUUUAGUGUAAUGGUUGAAAGAUGUUAUUCAUAUAACAAUGUGAAUACGACUUGCUUUGGUCAACUUGUAAACAACAUAUUUGAUUUUAAGAGAUAAGAUUCGAAACUUGGUAACAUGUUACUGUUGCGGUAAAGAUUAAUCGAAUGAAUGAUCUAAACAUAGUGCAGCUUUGUGAUUGGUAACAUGUUACUGUUGCGGUAAAGGGUGUUUCGAGAGUAUGGUUAGCAAUCACAAAGUAGGCUGUAAUCUCUUACCAUUCUUUCUUAGAUUCUCUUUAACUAUUAUUAUAUAUAUGCUGUUGCUAUUUCAAACACGUACCAAAAAAAACUGCAAAACCACUCUGACAUAUAGAUACAUCCCUAUUUCACCAGUUUUUGUGUGUGUGUGUGUUUUAACAUAUGUGAACUAGAUAAGGUAAAACCAUUUAGAAUGAGCAGAUUGUACCCAUUGGGCAAAUCUGGGCCCGGUAAAAUUGAUGGUCACUAUUUUUUUUUUUUUUUGAAACAGAUGGUCACUAUCUAUACUUCCGACUGUACAAACCUAAUAUGUUUAGUCAUCUCAUUGACCUGCAAUGGCUCUCUACAAUCAAAAUCUGCUUUGGCAUCUCACAUAACUUCAGAAGAUAAUCUCCUUAAAAAUUAUGAAAACAAAAAUCUUAACAUAGAUGGAAGAGCUAUCAGACAAAAAGAAAGAUUAAACAUAGAGUGCAAAAUGCAGUUCAAUGCUUAAGAUUCAACUACAUAUACAAAUCCCCGGCUGACACAUUUGAUGGAACAAACCAGUUUUCUUGAUCUGAAUAAUAAUACUUAAAACAGUUUGCUACACUCUCUCAACUUCUUGAAUUCCUUUUAAGGAAAUCCAAAGAGAGAGUUUUGUAUGCUUUAAAAUUAAAAGGUUAAAAAAAAACAGAUGAUAGAAGGAAGGUUGAUUAAGACAUGAGAACCAGAGUCUCAGGGAGAUGGUGAUGAUCACUGUCUUCCUCCUUUCUUUGCACAGCAAGGAGGGCAUUUAUACUGCUUGAUGCUGUCUGCUUUGGCGGGAGUGAUCUUCACGCAUUUUCCAUGGUACC